GUGCCAGCCGCCGCGGUAAUACGUAGGUGGCGAGCGUUGUCCGGAAUUACUGGGCGUAAAGGGCGUGUAGGCGGGGGGACAAGUCAGAUGUGAAAUACUGCAGCUUAACUGCGGGGCUGCAUCUGAAACUGUUCUUCUUGAGUGUCGGAGAGGAAAGUGGAAUUCCCAGUGUAGCGGUGAAAUGCGUAGAGAUUGGGAGGAACACCAGUGGCGAAGGCGGCUUUCUGGACGACAACUGACGCUGAGGCGCGAAAGCGUGGGGAGCAAACAGGAUUAGAUACCCUGGUAGUCCACGCUGUAAACGAUGGAUACUAGGUGUAGGAGGUAUCGACCCCUUCUGUGCCGGAGUUAACACAAUAAGUAUCCCGCCUGGGGAGUACGGCCGCAAGGUUGAAACUCAAAUGAAUUGACGG
RNAcentral lists this ribosomal RNA (413 nucleotides) under uncultured bacterium. RNAcentral describes it as "bacterial SSU rRNA". It matches the Rfam family "Bacterial small subunit ribosomal RNA", at positions 505 to 916 of the family's 1533-position model. The record is from RNAcentral.